UGGGGAAUUUUGCACAAUGGGGGAAACCCUGAUGCAGCGACGCCGCGUGAUUUAGAAGGCCUUUGGGUUGUAAAAAUCUUUUUUCCGGGAUGAAAAUGACAGUACCGUAAGAAUAAGGUCCGGCUAAAUACGUGCCAGCAGCCGCGGUAAUACGUAUGGACCGAGCGUUGUCCGGAAUCAUUGGGCGUAAAGGGUACGUAGGCGGCCUAGUAAGUUAGAAGUGAAAUAAUAUGGCUCAACUAGAUAAAGCUUUUAAAACUGCUAGGCUUGAGAGAUGGAAGGGAAAGUGGAAUUCCUGGUGUAGCGGUGAAAUGCGCAGAUAUUAGGAAGAAUACCGGUGGCGAAGGCGACUUUCUGGUCAUCAUCUGACGCUGAGGUACGAAAGCGUGGGUAGCAAACAGG
Molecule: ribosomal RNA, 402 nt
Filed under: bacterium
Lineage: Bacteria
Description: partial 16S ribosomal RNA
Rfam family: Bacterial small subunit ribosomal RNA
Source: RNAcentral